AAUCAACGCUGGCGGCGUGCCUAACACAUGCAAGUCGAACGAGAAAGUGGAGCAAUCCAUGAGUAAAGUGGCGCACGGGUGAGUAACACGUGACUAACCUACCCUUGAGUGGGGGAUAACCUCGGGAAACCGGGGCUAAUACCGCAUAAUAUCGAGAGAUCAAAGGAGCAAUUCGCUUAAGGAGGGGGUCGCGGCUGAUUAGCUAGUUGGUGAGGUAAUGGCUCACCAAGGCAUGAUCAGUAUCCGGCCUGAGAGGGCGCACGGACACACUGGAACUGAAACACGGUCCAGACUCCUACGGGAGGCAGCAGUGGGGAAUUUUGCGCAAUGGGGGAAACCCUGACGCAGCAACGCCGCGUGGAGGAUGAAGUCCCUUGGGACGUAAACUCCUUUCGAUCGGGACGAUAAUGACGGUACCGAGAGAAGAAGCCCC
RNAcentral lists this ribosomal RNA (433 nucleotides) under uncultured bacterium. RNAcentral describes it as "bacterial SSU rRNA". It matches the Rfam family "Bacterial small subunit ribosomal RNA", at positions 32 to 494 of the family's 1533-position model. The record is from RNAcentral.